Long non-coding RNA from Brassica napus (rape), 2951 nucleotides. RefSeq lists it as uncharacterized. The transcript has 5 exons. Lineage: Eukaryota; Viridiplantae; Streptophyta; Magnoliopsida; Brassicales; Brassicaceae. The record is from RefSeq and is a predicted model, not a curated record.
GGAAAUAAAGUUUCAAAUUUUAAAAAUAAAAAAUAAAUAUAAAAAAAUUUCAAAAGAAAGAGUUAUUUUAAUCAUUUUCUUUAUUAAGUGUUAUUUUAUGACAAAACUUAAAAAUAAAUGAUUAUUUGAAAGAAUUGUCCGUAUUUAUUCCCCUUUUUUUGGUAUUUUACGAUUGCAGGUCCCAUGAUUUAUUAUUUUCACAAGUAACCCAUCCACUUAUGAAACGCUUAAUUAAAUUAAGACCUCCCAGAUGAUUUAUUACAGAUCCAACGAGUACAGUUUCCAGACUAGUGUCAAUCGUAACAUCGGGUUUCGUUAAUUAGAUUUUGGAGAAGUUAUUUUCUUAGCUAGUAGUUUUUUUUUUGAUAUUUCAUUAAAUUAAAACAGUUUUUUUUAAUACCAAAGUACAACAUACGUAAAAAAAAAAUCAGUUUCAAUGUAUGUUAUUAAAUUUAAGUGUUUAUAAUUUAUAUUUUAACGAUAGAACCGUAACCAUCGGAGAGCUUCAUAACAUUUGCACCACAAAUAUUAGUCCUCGCAUGAAGGAGAAUGAUAACUUAAGAGAGUUUUUGUAAAAAAGUUUCACCCAAUGCGGAGCUGCCACGGCAGUUGCUUCACCUGGACAGGGGACAGGUGGCACUGUGAAAAUGUCGUAGCGUGAUAGUGCGGACGCGCAUGAAGAAGGUCCUUGUCUGGAUCCAAUGCUAUGUUGGCGCGUCGGGCACGUGUUCAAAUUGUGCUUUAGUACUACAAAACACCUUAUUGGAACUCUGCAAACCAAACAAAGACCACUUAUUUUUUAUUUUUCUGGUAAAUGGCAUUCAACAAAGACCACUUAUUCCAUUUACUAACACUUACUUGUCUCUCUUGUUAUCAUAAUAGUCUGAAUAAUUUUGAAAUUCAUUCCGUCUAUUGUGACAUAUUUAUUUAUUAGUUUUCUGAGAAACACUGUUAGAAAAUUUCACGUAAGAAAAUACAAAAAGGACUUGUUCUAUUUACCGUAACACUUACUCGUCUUUCUUAAUAUCUUCUAAAUAAUUUUAAAAAUCAUUCUGUCUAUCUUAUACAAUAAAGGAGAGUUGUCUCUCUCCUCCUUCCUCCACGUCCUCAAAGAGAGUGGGGCUUUUGCCGACACGUGUCAGCACAGCAGGCUACUUGCGAAAUUAUUUUUUCUCCAGCCGGAUCUUUUAAUUCACUUAUUUGAACUGGGCUUUUUAAUUAUUUCUGUUAACAAGAGUCCAAAGUGGACCUCUUAAGUUUAUUAAUGUAUUGGCCCAGACACACUCUUCUCCUUCUCCGUCGGUCUUCAUUUUAUUAGAUCCCUUAGAUUAGCAACGACGAUCUCCUUACUCUUCUGUAACGUUUUCUUCCUCAUUCAAUCCUGAUCAUAACUAUUUGCUAUUAACUCUCUCCUUCAGACCCUCCCACUAUGCCGAUCUUAAAUAUUCUCUCCCAAUUUCAUGGCAAAUCCCUAAAUUGUUAUACUAUAAAUACAUAUGAAGACUCUGCCGAAUCACAAAGCUUCACCAUCUUCUUUCUUUGUAUAUAAACAACAGAGUUUGGAUUGUUUUCUCAAAUAAAUUUGUAGGCUUUUCACAAUCGUAAAAUGCACUGGCUGAGUUUGCAUGGGUUGCAAGGAAAAAAAGCAAGUUGUAGCAGGAAUGAUGCAUCAUCUCACCCUGGAGUGAAGCCAUGGUUGACCUUCAAAGAGUUGCAGGAAUUCAAGCCCCUACCAUUAAUCUUUCCAAUCUUGGCUGCAAAAAAAAAAGAUGGCCAUGACUCUGGAUGCAAGGAAGUGCAAUACGUUUCUUGAUCAUGUCAAGACCAUCUAACAAAGAUCAAACUCACUGUUCACUUAUGAACUUCAGGAGGCCCGUCAAAGCCACAAGAGAAUUGGAGUGAUACGCAAAGAUACUACAACGGAUAAUCAACAAAUAGUGGGCCUCUCUUAUCCCUAAUGCAAGAUUUAGCAUGGGUUCAAGAUAUCGAUGAUUGAGACCAUUAAAAAGGAGAAACAUUAUCUGUCUUAUGACUUCCAUUUUUGUGUAUAUCAAAUGGCAAUUUGGCAAGAGAUGUAAUAAUAUUAUUAUCAUCAUUUCUCUGUUCGGUAGCGAGAAACGUUGAGAGCUUAAAAUAUUUGGUAUCGUGCGGUUUCGAUAUUCUUUUACGUUUUGGGAUUAAAUAUCCGGGGAACUCUUUUUCAAAUCUUAGCUUUUACCACUCAUAUCAGUUAGUGACAAACACUCGAGUUGCUAUGACUUUGUGGUAAUUAUUUUCUACCGUCUAAAUCUUGACCUAACUUCAGUUUGGUCUUUCAUAUUUUUUAUCCGUAUGCGUAUAAGUUAUAACGUUAUAGAAAGGUUGGUGAUAUAUCUUUUUUACUUCGAGAUCAAUAUAUAUUUUUCUUUUUUAUUUCUUAUACAGUGUUCUAAAUUUAUUAACCCUCUAAUAAGCAAAGUGUAUGCAGCUCCUUCGCAUCAAAUUAUAUUAAUCCUCUAAGAGCAAGCCGACAAUGCAAAGUAUAUGCAGCUCCUUCGCGUCGAAUUAUGCAUAAAGAGGAUUCAUGGGUCCAGUGGAAGUUGCAUUACGAAUGAUGUUCAUUAUUAUUAAUAAUAAAAAUUUAUACUCUGAAACUUAGAUAAAAAUACAAAAAAAUUGUGAUAAGUAUUUAUAGGUUACAUUUGGCUCAGGAGUUUUCGGUCUUAGAGUUUGGAAAAUAAUAAAUUAUCUAGCACAAAAAGAAAUAAUGAGAAUUAUAAAACUAAAACUUUACGACAACUUUUUAAGGCAUAUAUUAUUUAUUAGACAUUAUAUAUUUAACAUCUAAUAUAUAAACAAAAUUAAAAAAAAAAACAUAAUUAAUAUGUACAAAAGAUGAAUUGAAGAUAAAGAAUGGUUUCAUUAAAUAAAAAAAAUUAAAAAUAAAUGAUAACAGUUAAAUAAUAGAAUAU